Molecule: non-coding RNA, 106 nt
Organism: Gossypium arboreum
Lineage: Eukaryota; Viridiplantae; Streptophyta; Magnoliopsida; Malvales; Malvaceae
Source: Rfam
AUUCCAUGAUGAAGGCAGUUCCUUAAUAAUUCUUUGUACCUUUCCUAUGCCCAUACAAGGACUCAUCAUCCAUUUGUUGGAAAGUAAUGAUCUCAUUCCUCAACUU